GCCAAAAAGAACCAGCAGCCUAUCCAUAGUCAUCACAGUAAGCGGGAUCCAUUAAUUCUAAGGCACGAGGAAGCAGAUAGUCAGGGAAUUCUACCCAGAGAAGACAUCUCUCCUAGUCCUGGCAAAAGGGAGCAAUAAAAGGGAAUUACAGGAGAAAAGAUGGAGAAGAAGGAGAAAGGGGGAAGAAGAGGAGGAGAAGAAAAAGGAAGAUGGAGAAAGAAGGAACUGAUGCAGCUUGAGAAACUCCAAGGACACGUGCUCCUGCAGAUGGACCUUGUCUUCCUGCAAACUCCAGGAUCACCACAGAUGGUCGCACCAAUACCUGCCAAGCGGUACUGUGAGACUGCGCCUAUCCUGCUCCCCUGCGCUGUCUGUGUGAAGAAAUCAGAACUACGGAUGCUCCUGCCACCGCCAGGAGCAUAUAAAAGGGACAGGAGAUGCGCCUCGUGGGAAGCCCCGAAACUGUUGCCUGGAGUACUUGAAAUUCCUGGGCUGCCUCUGUGUCCUCAGUGGAACCCUCCUCGAUCCUGGGUCCUCCCACUCCACCUUGCUAAAGAUUUGCUGUGUCCACUCCUCAUUCCUAUAACCAUGCCUAGGAGUUUUACCAGCCUGGUGUCUGUACCACCUUCAAAAUAACAUUUUAUGCUCGGAGCUCACUCAGGUAUUCCCACCGAGACAAUUAUUAGAUCAAAUUCAAACUCUGGAUUCAUCGACCCUCUGAUUCUACUCAUAGGCUUCUAUUUUCACGUCUCCUCUUGUUCAUCUUGGAUUCCAAAUUCCAUCAUUAUUAAUGGCAGCCCUAGUCUUUGUUUUGUUUUGAUUUGUUUUGGUGUUUUGUGACAGGGUCUCUCACUAUGCAGUUCAGGCUGGCCUUGAGUUUACUUUGCAGCCCAGGCUGGCCUGGAACUCACAACGAUCCUCCUGCCUCAGCUUCCAGAGUGCAGGGAUUACAAGCAUGUGCCAUCAUGCCCAGCUUUGUAGUUCCAGUCUUGACACCUCUUCUUCUGGAGUCACACUUCUCCAGUUUCCCUUGUACUUUUCUCCCACUGUUCCUCCGUUUCAUUUAGUGGUUUGCCUUCCCUAACAGUCUCUAAAUGUUAGAACUACCUGAUAUUCUGUCCCAGGCGUUUUCCCCUCCUCAUUCUAUACUUUCUUGCUAGGCGAGAUCCUCUCCUGUCACAGCUCUAAGUGUCAUUUAAUGAUGACACCGUAUCUCCGGCCUCAACCAACUUCUGAGCCCCAGAUCCUCCAGCAGCUCCCUGUCUGACACUGCCUCUCCGGUCUGAUCAGUUUCCGCACCCAGUUGGUCAUUAUUUCCAAGUCUCUGCACCACCACUGCGGUUUAGUGCAAGCCCCCGCCAUUGUUCUCUGGGACCCCUGCAGGAGUCCUCUAACUGUGAGCUUUGUCAUCACCUGCCUCUGUCCAGGCCUGUCUCCACGCAGCCACCAGAGAGAUUUGCAAAUGAAAUCAGACAGUGUGUCCUGUUUAAUGCCCUUAAUGAUUUUUCUCUAUUGAGAGAGUGAAGUUAAAAUGCUUAACAUUUCUACACGGCUGAGCCUGUGUCUGCUUCUCCAGCAUUAUCCUGCUUAGAACAGACCAACUCCAUCGUUCUCCUCUUGAUUUUGCAAGCGGCUAACUUCCUGUCUUGGGUUUUCCUGUGCGCACCUUCCUCCGCCUAGAACGUUCUUCUCUGGGCUUGUUUUUUGUAGUCCCCUCCCGUUCCUCACUUGGUUGUUACUAAUCCUUUGAUUCUCUGUUUUUAAUAAGUGACUUCUUGGGAGCACACUGUCUAGGUCCUCCAUUUGUAUGUUCUUGGCCUGCCCUGUUUCAUUUGUAGUACUAAUCACCAUGGUUUUAUUGUUGUUGAUGACAUGAUCUAAUUGACAUCUCCUACUCCUUGAAUGUGGCAUAAUAACUGACCCACUUAAUAAAUAUUUGUUGAAUGAA
Molecule: long non-coding RNA, 1948 nt
Organism: Cavia porcellus (domestic guinea pig)
Lineage: Eukaryota; Metazoa; Chordata; Mammalia; Rodentia; Caviidae
Exons: 3
Source: RefSeq, a predicted model, not a curated record